CACACGACUCUCGGCAACGGAUAUCUCGGCUCUCGCAUCGAUGAAGAACGUAGCGAAAUGCGAUACCUGGUGUGAAUUGCAGAAUCCCGUGAACCAUCGAGUCUUUGAACGCAAGUUGCGCCCGAGGCCAUCUGGCCGAGGGCACGCCUGCCUGGGCGUCACGC
This 164-nucleotide ribosomal RNA is filed under the name Oryza malampuzhaensis. RNAcentral describes it as "5.8S ribosomal RNA". It matches the Rfam family "5.8S ribosomal RNA". Rfam says of the family: 5.8S ribosomal RNA (5.8S rRNA) is a component of the large subunit of the eukaryotic ribosome. It is transcribed by RNA polymerase I as part of the 45S precursor that also contains 18S and 28S rRNA. Lineage: Eukaryota; Viridiplantae; Streptophyta; Magnoliopsida; Poales; Poaceae. The record is from RNAcentral.